RNAcentral lists this small nucleolar RNA (212 nucleotides) under Nicotiana sylvestris (wood tobacco). Its description in RNAcentral is "Plant small nucleolar RNA U3". It matches the Rfam family "Plant small nucleolar RNA U3". From Rfam's summary of the family: Small nucleolar RNAs (snoRNAs) are involved in the processing and modification of rRNA in the nucleolus. There are two main classes of snoRNAs: the box C/D class, and the box H/ACA class. RNAcentral also lists the same sequence under 1 other name. The record is from Rfam by way of RNAcentral. Lineage: Eukaryota; Viridiplantae; Streptophyta; Magnoliopsida; Solanales; Solanaceae.
ACGACCUUACUUGAACAGGAUCUGUUCUAUAGGCUAGUGGUACCACUGUAUCCUUAAGGAGACAGAAAACCAAGUCUGGUUGAUUGAUGAGGCAUAGCUAUUGGACCAGAGCCUGAAUAAUAGGCCCCACAGCCCCUCGGGUCAUGGUGCCGUAGAUGAUCGUUCUCAGCCCCAAGGUGCGUUGAGAUGAUCUAAUGGCUGUCUGACAGACU